AGCUGAAUAAGCGAAGAAGGUCUGUUGCUCCACACGAUGCAACAGUUAAAAGGGAAGCUGGUUAAAGUCCAGCGCGGUCCCGCCACUGUAAUCAAUGAAAGUAGAUUCAUUGAAAGUCAGACACCUGCCCUCUAUGCUUGUGAAGA
This 146-nucleotide non-coding RNA is filed under the name Fictibacillus macauensis. Lineage: Bacteria; Bacillati; Bacillota; Bacilli; Caryophanales; Fictibacillaceae. RNAcentral also lists the same sequence under 1 other name. The record is from RNAcentral.